CCUACGGGAGGCAGCAGUGGGGAAUAUUGGACAAUGGGCGAAAGCCUGAUCCAGCCAUGCCGCGUGUGUGAAGAAGGCCUUCGGGUUGUAAAGCACUUUCAGUGGGGAAGAAAGCCUUGGGGCUAAUACCCUCGAGGAAGGACAUCACCCACAGAAGAAGCACCGGCUAACUCCGUGCCAGCAGCCGCGGUAAUACGGAGGGUGCGAGCGUUAAUCGGAAUUACUGGGCGUAAAGCGCGCGUAGGCGGUCUGAUAAGCCGGUUGUGAAAGCCCCGGGCUCAACCUGGGAACGGCAUCCGGAACUGUCAGGCUAGAGUGCAGGAAAGGAAGGUAGAAUUCCCGGUGUAGCGGUGAAAUGCGUAGAGAUCGGGAGGAAUACCAGUGGCGAAGGCGGCCUUCUGGACUGACACUGACGCUGAGGUGCGAAAGCGUGGGUAGCAAACAGGAUUAGAUACCCUGGUAGUC
RNAcentral lists this ribosomal RNA (465 nucleotides) under Vreelandella stevensii. RNAcentral's name for it is "partial 16S ribosomal RNA". It matches the Rfam family "Bacterial small subunit ribosomal RNA", at positions 338 to 795 of the family's 1533-position model. Lineage: Bacteria; Pseudomonadati; Pseudomonadota; Gammaproteobacteria; Oceanospirillales; Halomonadaceae. The record is from RNAcentral.